Small nuclear RNA from Suricata suricatta (meerkat), 121 nucleotides. The record is from Ensembl. Lineage: Eukaryota; Metazoa; Chordata; Mammalia; Carnivora; Herpestidae.
GUGCUGUAUGAAAGGAGAGAUUAGAAUUCUUGGAAAUGAUGAGAAGGUCCUAAUUAACGAUACAACACAUUCAUGGUGAAGGUAUUGCUAUGUACUUUGUGGCCUCUCAUCAUGGUAUUGC